UACGUAGGGUGCAAGCGUUGUCCGGAAUUAUUGGGCGUAAAGGGCGCGUAGGCUGCUUUGCGUGUCUUUCGUGAAAUCCCUCGGCUCAACUGAGGACGUGCGGAAGAAACUGCAGGGCUGGAGUCCGGGAGAGGAGGGUGGAAUUCCCAGUGUAGCGGUGAAAUGCGUAGAUAUUGGGAGGAACACCGGUGGCGAAGGCGGCCCUCUGGACCGGUACUGACGCUGAUGCGCGAAAGCGUGGGGAGCAAACGGG
This 253-nucleotide ribosomal RNA is filed under the name uncultured bacterium. Its description in RNAcentral is "partial 16S ribosomal RNA". It matches the Rfam family "Bacterial small subunit ribosomal RNA", at positions 524 to 776 of the family's 1533-position model. The record is from RNAcentral.